Molecule: ribosomal RNA, 253 nt
Filed under: uncultured bacterium
Lineage: Bacteria
Description: partial 16S ribosomal RNA
Rfam family: Bacterial small subunit ribosomal RNA
Source: RNAcentral
UACGUAGGGACCAAGCGUUGUUCGGAUUUACUGGGCGUAAAGGGCGCGUAGGCGGCGUGUCAAGUCAGGCGUGAAAGCCCCGGGCUCAACCUGGGAACCGCGCUUGGGACUGGCAUGCUCGAGUUCGGGAGAGGAUGGUGGAAUUCCCAGUGUAGAGGUGAAAUUCGUAGAUAUUGGGAAGAACACCGAUGGCGAAGGCAGCCAUCUGGACCGACACUGACGCUGAGGCGCGAAAGCGUGGGGAGCAAACAGG